Molecule: ribosomal RNA, 301 nt
Filed under: uncultured bacterium
Lineage: Bacteria
Description: partial 16S ribosomal RNA
Rfam family: Bacterial small subunit ribosomal RNA
Source: RNAcentral
CAGUAGCCGCGGUAAUACGAAGGGGGCUAGCGUUGCUCGGAACGACUGGGCGUAAAGGGCGCGUAGGCGGUUUAUACAGUCAGAUGUGAAAUUCCUGGGCUCAACCUGGGGACUGCAUUUGAUACGUAUGGACUUGAGUGGAGAAGAGGGUCGUGGAAUUUCCAGUGUAGAGGUGAAAUUCGUAGAUAUUGGAAAGAACACCGGUGGCGAAGGCGGCGACCUGGUCUUUAACUGACGCUGAGGCGCGAAAGCGUGGGGAGCAAACAGGAUUAGAUACCCGUGUAGUCCCUGUCUCUUAUAC